UACGGGGGGGGCAAGCGUUGUUCGGAAUUACUGGGCGUAAAGGGCUCGUAGGCGGCCAACUAAGUCAGACGUGAAAUUCCUCGGCUUAACCGGGGAACUGCGUCUGAUACUGGAUGGCUUGAGUUUGGGAGAGGGAUGCGGAAUUCCAGGUGUAGCGGUGAAAUGCGUAGAUAUCUGGAGGAACACCGGUGGCGAAGGCGGCAUCCUGGACCGAGAUCGACGCUGAGGCGCGAAAGCUAGGGGAGCAAACGGG
RNAcentral lists this ribosomal RNA (253 nucleotides) under uncultured bacterium. RNAcentral describes it as "partial 16S ribosomal RNA". It matches the Rfam family "Bacterial small subunit ribosomal RNA", at positions 524 to 776 of the family's 1533-position model. The record is from RNAcentral.